GCUACCAUCCUCAGUGUUUUAUAUGCCUACUAAAACUGAAAAUAUUAAUUAUGAUUAUAAAAGCUAUCUACUCUGUAUUGACUUUGUUCAAAAUGAGUUAGACCCUUGUUGAGAGAUUUAUCAUGCUCCUAAGAUCAAGACAUUUAUUCAGAAAGAUUCACUCUUCUGAAGUAUUAUUGCAUUAGAGGCAUGGGCUAUGCAAAAAUAAAGAUAUUUCAAGGAAAUAAAAAGGAGCAAGUGCUCGAUAACCUCGCAGAAAAAAUUGACAAGUGUCCGGC
RNAcentral lists this long non-coding RNA (278 nucleotides) under Sorghum bicolor (sorghum). Its description in RNAcentral is "long non-coding RNA (SBIC_LNC006811)". Lineage: Eukaryota; Viridiplantae; Streptophyta; Magnoliopsida; Poales; Poaceae. The record is from RNAcentral.